UGUGGGGGAAGUCCAUUUUAAAAAAUAAUAUUAAAAUAUGAAUCAAUUGGAAAUGCCUCAUAGAGUAACCUGUGGUUUUAUUUUACCCACAGGACUAUGGUUAAAUAUGUGCGAAAGAACUACAAGACAGUU
This is a small nucleolar RNA of Cercocebus atys (sooty mangabey), 132 nucleotides long. The record is from Ensembl. Lineage: Eukaryota; Metazoa; Chordata; Mammalia; Primates; Cercopithecidae.